CUGGUGCUGGUCUCGACGCUGCGGCGACUGCGGCAGCUGCGGAGCCGCGAGUGGGGCCGACGUCUCCUGCCCCUCCCGCCGCCCCCGCUUCCCGACACGGAGGGGCGCCUGCCGCGCCGGAGUGUGCGCCUGCGUCGGUGUGAGCAUUUAUAAGAGCACGCGAGCGGGGGAGCCUGUGCGCGAGUGUGCGUGUGUGCGCGGGUGUGUUUGGAGGGGUCGCUGGGACAGUGACCUGGACUGUCUCAGACCUACAGCGGAAAGAGUUUGGGGAGGUUAGAGGGUUCGUGUCGCUGUGCGCAGCUUCGUGGGUCUUAACACAACUGAAUGUGUCUGGCCAGCGGGGGGAGGGGGAUUGCGCGCGCGCACCCGAGUCCUCACCCAUAGUCAAGGAUAUUUCGCCCCGACUCUGCUGGCUGGAGACCUAGGGGUGCAGAGAGGCCCUAAGCCAUGCCUCUGGGGGAGGCUCCCCUCUCCAAAAGGCUCAAAAAUGGGGGAGAGGCUCCUUCUGCCUGGCCAUGUGACUCGGAGUCCCCCUACAGGGUUGAGAAGAAUAGGAGGGUGAUGGUGUUGGGUGGCCGCCCCCAUGUUGAGCUGGGUCUUCCAGAAGAUUCUGAGGGUCCGGACCCAAAUCAGCUACGGAGAAGCCAAGGCCAGAGAGAGUGUAUUUAUAGCAGAUGGGACUAAGUAAGGUUAGACAUCAGAAAGCGCUUGCUCUGGUGAGGUGUGUACCAGAUAGACAUCCCACAUCUCCUGCUUCCGCUCUUCCCCAGUCCCUCUCCUAAAUCACUCCCAGCCUCCUCCCCCUUCCCCUUUCCAGAGCCUCCCUUGUCCCUGUCGCCUUCACGAUCUUAAUUCUUUGUCCCCAUACCCCGGAGAGUGCUUCACUUCCCUAAAGCAAAGGAUGGCUCAAGCUCCGCCCCCUUCCAGUGACAUCACGGUUUCCAAUAGCAACUGAGGAUUCUGCAAACCCAACUGCAAAAGCCCCCAGUAGGGAUAAUGUAAGGGCGGUACCAGCACCUAAGUGCUGUUCUGAGCGGCAGGCAGGGGAGAGGCCAUGUGUUCCCUCAGGGUCUCACUCCCUGUCCCCUGCAGUCCUCAGACUAGAGGCUGACCCUGCCCCCUGCCUCCCAGAGCCAAACACGGUCACCGAAGGACAUCUACGGCUCUCAGAAGCGGGGGCUCCGCUCUUGGCAUGCUCCCUUUCUCCACCCCCUUCUCUUUCAAGGCCAGGGAAUUCUUGCUCAUGGGGGAGCUAACCUCCCACAGCCUGCAGCAGGCCCACUCUGUUCGGGGACUGAGGGCCACAGUGGAAGGACACAGUGGGUUCACAGAGAGAUAUACUGAGGGCGCUUGGGGGCCCAGAGCCAGCCCCACCCACACAGGGUUUGUGCCAGGUCUCCAAACUUCUGUGGCCUGCGGCCUGUGGCCUGUGGCCUGUGGCAAGUCAGAGCUUGGAGGCUGUGCGGCUGCGUGGGGGCUGGGCUGCCAGCUCCGGUGUGGCCCGGACAGCUCCAGGACACCUAGGGGAGGACGGAACUCAGCAGGGGCUGCACUCAGAAAGCCCAGCCCCUCCCAUCUGCCCCCAUCUGCCUCCAGGGGCUGGAGCGGCUCCCACUGGCCCUGGAAAGGCAGUUUCUUCUAAAUAUGCAGAAAUCGAGCGUGAGUUUCCUGGCAUAUCACCACCUCCCCUGGGCUGCCAAGGCUGAAGCUUCUGUCUCAAGCCUCUUGCACAGAUUCCAACGUCCAGGGACGGGGUGGAGGCUAUGCUUGCCCACCAGACCUCAGCCCCCUCCCAUGAGUAAGUCCCUUUGUGGGCUUCUCCCACCAAAAAGGUGGGUGGUGCAGCCACAGAAGGCCUGGGCCUUGCAAUGUCCCCGCUAUGACGGAGGAAGCCGCCUGGAGUUGGGCCGCUCUGAAUCCUCUUCAUCAAAUUCUGCAGGGAGGACCGAAGGGCUUGGGUGUUGCCACUGGCCUGGGUGGAGAAGGAGGUCUGCGCCAGAGCUCCGCCUGGGGAGACGCUUGACGCGCAGCCGGUCCUGGGGAGGGAGCUGCUCCCUCCUCCCCUCACUCCAGGCCCCUCCCCUCGAGCAGCUGUCCGUCACCGCGAAGCCCGCCUUAGAGCCUCAGUCGACUGGCCUGGCUAUCGGUUGGCACAAGACCCAAGCAGACCACUCAGGGUUCUUCCCUAGGAUUUUGGCCAGACCAGAAGCUGGCACAAGCACCCGUCUCUACCUCCUCUCCUCUCUCCCAAGAGCCCCUUGAGGACACGUUCUGCCAGGAGGAAAGCGGUUUGAGAGGAGGAAGCGGACAGGUCGGGAGGAGCGUGCAGAAGCCAGGCAGGUACCUUGCCCGUGGCCAGCCCCGCGGGCAGAGGACGGGCUUUCGUCUGCUGUCCACCUGCUGCGAGGGCCCGCCUCCAAGCAGGACUGCGGGAAAGCGGCCGGCUGUCAGCAGGCCUGGCCAGUUGGAGACAUGCCCUGGAGUUGGGGUCUCCGGCCCCUGAUCUGGGGGAGCCCCAGGACUCCCACAGAGAACAGCGGGACAGCAGUGUCGCCAGCUGCCUUGCUCUCCUGCUGUUUCCCACUCACUUUAUCUGCGUGGUUCCGCUACCUGCCUCCGCCAUAGGCUCCCAUCCCUGUUCCCACACUCUGGUUUCUGCUAAUACGUGACAGAGAGUGCACUGAACGUACAGAUCGAUGUGUGGAAGACUGCUGGCUUACCAGUACUGAGGCUCUUGGUCCACUUAGUGAGACCGUCUUCACUUUCGGUAAUGCUUCAUAGAUUUUAAUCUAAACAGGUGUUGCUGUAAUUUUGUUAAGCUUAUUCCUAAGUACUUCAUUCUCUCUGGUGUAAUUACAAAUGGAAUUGCUUUCUGAA
Molecule: long non-coding RNA, 2877 nt
Organism: Suricata suricatta (meerkat)
Lineage: Eukaryota; Metazoa; Chordata; Mammalia; Carnivora; Herpestidae
Exons: 2
Source: RefSeq, a predicted model, not a curated record